CUGAGAUCAGUUUUAAUGAGCAAGAGAACUGCUGCACAUAGAUAGCAACUCAGAGACUCUCACAUGGUUGCUAAUUUUUACAUUCUCAGGCUGAUCAUUGUUUUAUUAUUUUAGGUGAUCAAACUCCCUUGAUUGUCAGUGAUGUACCUGUAAGGGUGUAGUUAAAGAUAUGGCCCUUUGAGAUGUAAUAUGUUUUAGUGCUUGACAAAUAUAUUGCUCUUGUGACACUCACGUAGCUUUUCUGGAACUGAGUCAUCCUCUUCAGUUCUCUGGAAAAUAAACAUUUAGCUGGAAUGGAUUGGGCUGAGAACUCCCCACCCUCCCUCUCUCUGUCAGCAUUACCCUAUAAAAGCAGAGCCAUCUACCCACUCUGCACUAGAACACCUGAUUACUACAACCUUCAAGCGCGCCAUCACACCGAGGAAGAACACACAGACACAGCAAUGGAUUGUGCUUCAACUGUCGUCACUUCACAUACCAACAGCAAAAACGACUGCAAUAAAAAAAAAUGUGUUGCCCCAUGUCCUACUGAAUCAGGCAAAAACAUAUCAGGUCAAAACAUAUCAGGCCAAAACAUAUCCGGCAGUGUGGGCGGAAGUAUUUCCAUUGGCAACCAGGACAAUACCAUCACUCAUACCGGUUAACAAACAACUCCCAGAAAAACUGUCGCACCCAGCAUCACCAUAGCCAACAUAACAGGUGGCAAAGUGGGUCUUUACUACAAGGCAGAGAAGAUGGCUCUCUGUGACCUCAUCGAGGGGAGACAACUCAGGAAGGGCCACUCCAUUCUCAUCCUGGAAAACACCUUUAAGAAGACCCCUCUUCCUCCUCUAUGUCACUGGCUUCCAAGUAGAAAGUGACAAUACAUACAGAUUUAACUACAUACAAAAUAUUGAUUAAAAAUAAAGAGAGAAUAAAUCUCAGAUAAGUGAAAAAGUGCUACAAGAUAUACUUUGAUUGUAUGGUCGAAUUCAACAAUGUAAUCAAUGUAGGUUUUUGACAAAAAAAUAAAUGUUACCAAACUGAGAAAAUGUUAGUAUGUGUUCUGUAAGAUGUUAUCAUGAGUGUGUGUGUGAUUACAUUACAUGAUUGGGGUUGCCACCAGAUAUCCUACAUACUGAUGCUAAUUUCAACAAAGGUCAACAACACAAUAUUGUAAUCAAAGUUGUAUUUCUAAGGUUGUAGUCAUGUUAUUUCAAGCAUACAGUGUGUUGGUGCAAGACACUUACAGUGAGCACAAAUAUAUAUAACAGAGACAAAAUCUGCACAUUUCCUCAUUACAUUGGAUUUGAAAAUCAUUUGAACUAGAAUGUUAGAUAAAUGCAGUGUUUCCCAACUAAAGGUUUG
Molecule: long non-coding RNA, 1347 nt
Organism: Salmo trutta (river trout)
Lineage: Eukaryota; Metazoa; Chordata; Actinopteri; Salmoniformes; Salmonidae
Source: Ensembl